This is a ribosomal RNA of 335 nucleotides. It matches the Rfam family "Bacterial small subunit ribosomal RNA", at positions 790 to 1337 of the family's 1533-position model.
CUAUGUCUAGUCGUAAACUUUAAAUUACACCUAAAUCGCCUGGGAACUACGAGCAAAGCUUAAAACCCAAAGGACUUGACGGUACCCCACAUCCACCUAGAGGAGCCUGUCCUAUAAUCGAUAAUCCCCGCUAAACCUCACCAUUUUUAGCCAAUCAGCCUGUAUACCUCCGUCGUCAGCUUACCACGUGAGCGCAAUUUAGUAAGCUCAAUGUCCCUACAUCAACACGUCAGGUCAAGGUGCAGCAAAUAAAAUGGAAAGAGAUGGGCUACACUUUCUAUCUUAGAAUAUACGAAAGACUACUUAUGAAAUCUAGUCAGAAGGCGGAUUUAGUA